This is a long non-coding RNA of Helianthus annuus (common sunflower), 409 nucleotides long. RefSeq lists it as uncharacterized. Lineage: Eukaryota; Viridiplantae; Streptophyta; Magnoliopsida; Asterales; Asteraceae. The record is from RefSeq and is a predicted model, not a curated record. The transcript is spliced from 3 exons.
AGAGGAGCAAGGAGGGGUGAAACCCUAACUUCACAAAAUCCACAAGAGUUACUACAAAUCUUAAGGAAAUCGAAAGAAUAAUCAUCAAAUUCUAAGCUCCUACACCUGUUCUUUGAAGUGGAUAGGAAACCAAAAUUUACAUGGACUCAAGUAUGGAAGGCUAUCGGAUUAAGAGGAAAUGAGGAAGUUAUGCACAAACUUGGACGCACGAGGUGAACCCUCAAUUUUGGCGACUUGGAGAAUCGGAGCGAGCGCGUGUUCAUGUUAUGCGAUACCAAACGCUUCCGCUAGUUUGUUCAAAUGUUUUCGAUCCAAAAUUUGUUGUACUGGUUUUUAGUAGUAUUUUUUUUGAACGAAUUGUAGAAUUGUAUCUAGUUUGUUUAUGUUUAAAACAGGGGUAUGCUCGUUU